AUUGAACGCUGGCGGCAGGCUUAACACAUGCAAGUCGAGCGGAGCGAGGGUGCUUGCACCUUAGCUUAGCGGCGGACGGGUGAGUAAUGCUUAGGAAUCUGCCUAUUAGUGGGGGACAACAUUCCGAAAGGAAUGCUAAUACCGCAUACGCCCUACGGGGGAAAGCAGGGGAUCUUCAGACCUUGCGCUAAUAGAUGAGCCUAAGUCGGAUUAGCUAGUUGGUGGGGUAAAGGCCUACCGAGGCGACGAUCUGUAGCGGGUCUGAGAGGAUGAUCCGCCACACUGGGACUGAGACACGGCCCAGACUCCUACAGGAGGCAGCAGUGGGGAAUAUUGGACAAUGGGCGGAAGCCUGAUCCAGCCAUGCCGCGUGUGUGAAGAAGGCCUUUUGGUUGUAAAGCACUUUAAGCGAGGAGGAGGCUACUUAGAUUAAUACUCUGGGAUAGUGGACGUUACUCGCAGAAUAAGCACCGGCUAACUCUGUGCCAGCAGCCGCCGUAA
Molecule: ribosomal RNA, 501 nt
Filed under: uncultured bacterium
Lineage: Bacteria
Description: partial 16S ribosomal RNA
Rfam family: Bacterial small subunit ribosomal RNA
Source: RNAcentral